RNAcentral lists this ribosomal RNA (253 nucleotides) under uncultured bacterium. Its description in RNAcentral is "partial 16S ribosomal RNA". It matches the Rfam family "Bacterial small subunit ribosomal RNA", at positions 524 to 776 of the family's 1533-position model. The record is from RNAcentral.
UACGUAGGGUGCGAGCGUUGUCCGGAAUUAUUGGGCGUAAAGGGCGCGUAGGCGGCUUUGCAAGUGACGGGUGAAAUCCCUCGGCUUAACCGAGGAACUGCCUGUCAAACUGCAUGGCUUGAGACUGGGAGAGGUGAGUGGAAUUCCCAGUGUAGCGGUGAAAUGCGUAGAUAUUGGGAGGAACACCAGUGGCGAAGGCGGCUCACUGGACCGGUACUGACGCUGAUGCGCGAAAGCGUGGGGAGCAAACAGG